RNAcentral lists this long non-coding RNA (449 nucleotides) under Penaeus japonicus. Its description in RNAcentral is "uncharacterized LOC122256248". The record is from RNAcentral. Lineage: Eukaryota; Metazoa; Arthropoda; Malacostraca; Decapoda; Penaeidae.
CCAUCAAGCUGGCUCAAUAAAAGGGCGGACAAAUGAUACCUCGACCAGACCCCACUUCGGUUCUCGACUAAGAUCAUUCUCCGGUCGACCAUGGACAAACGCUUUCUCCUUUUGGUUGUUGUGUCUUGUAUGCUACUGGUGACGGUGGCUGUAGCAAAAGCAAAGCCUGCAAAAGUAUCACCAAGAGCUGCGGACACAGCAGGUGUAUAUCCUGUAGCAAGGUGGUCAGAAUCAGGACCAGUAAAAAGAUCAGCCAUAGAUGAUAGUUCAGACCUUUCUGAGCGUCUUGAUGCAAGCGAAGAAUGAAGAAUGUUUUUGAUGAAGAAUGUUUUGAGCAAUGAGUCCACAACCUGCUUCCCAGCCUUGUUCCGCCAUCAAGUUCAAGUUGGAAGUAGGUAAGAAAUAGCACACUCCAGAAAACAAAAUAGAAAAUAAAAACUGGUGAUCUA